GCCGGUGUAGCUUAACGGGAAAGCUGGAGACUGUGUCUCCAGAUGUCGGUUCGAUUCCGUGCCGCUGGCU
Molecule: transfer RNA, 70 nt
Organism: Phytophthora nicotianae (black shank of tobacco agent)
Lineage: Eukaryota; Oomycota; Peronosporomycetes; Peronosporales; Peronosporaceae
Rfam family: tRNA
About the family: Transfer RNA (tRNA) molecules are approximately 80 nucleotides in length. Their secondary structure includes four short double-helical elements and three loops (D, anti-codon, and T loops). Further hydrogen bonds mediate the characteristic L-shaped molecular structure. tRNAs have two regions of fundamental functional importance: the anti-codon, which is responsible for specific mRNA codon recognition, and the 3' end, to which the tRNAs corresponding amino acid is attached (by aminoacyl-tRNA synthetases). tRNAs cope with the degeneracy of the genetic code in two manners: having more than one tRNA (with a specific anti-codon) for a particular amino acid; and 'wobble' base-pairing, i.e. permitting non-standard base-pairing at the 3rd anti-codon position.
Source: Rfam